GGUUAAGCGACUAAGCGUACACGGUGGAUGCCCUGGCAGUCAGAGGCGAUGAAGGACGUGCUAAUCUGCGAAAAGCGCCGGCGAGGUGAUAUGAACCCUUGACCCGGCGAUGUCCGAA
Molecule: ribosomal RNA, 118 nt
Filed under: Enterobacter hormaechei
Lineage: Bacteria; Pseudomonadati; Pseudomonadota; Gammaproteobacteria; Enterobacterales; Enterobacteriaceae
Description: partial 23S ribosomal RNA
Rfam family: Bacterial large subunit ribosomal RNA
Source: RNAcentral